UACGGGUAGCGCUAGUGUUAUUCCUCUUGAUUGGGCGUAAAGGGUGCGUAGGCGGCGCAGUAAGUUGGGUGUGAAAUCCCUCGGCUUAACCGAGGAAUUGCGCCGAAAACUACUGUGCUCGAGGGAGAUAGAGGUGAGCGGAACUUAGGGUGGAGCGGUGAAAUGCGUUGAUAUCCUAAGGAACACCGGUGGCGAAAGCGGCUCACUGGAUCUCUUCUGACGCUGAGGCACGAAAGCUAGGGUAGCAAACGGG
This 253-nucleotide ribosomal RNA is filed under the name uncultured bacterium. RNAcentral describes it as "partial 16S ribosomal RNA". It matches the Rfam family "Bacterial small subunit ribosomal RNA", at positions 524 to 776 of the family's 1533-position model. The record is from RNAcentral.